RNAcentral lists this ribosomal RNA (431 nucleotides) under uncultured bacterium. RNAcentral describes it as "bacterial SSU rRNA". It matches the Rfam family "Bacterial small subunit ribosomal RNA", at positions 354 to 796 of the family's 1533-position model. The record is from RNAcentral.
GUGGGGGAUCUUGCGCUAAUGCGCGAAAGCGUGACGCAGCGACGCCGCGUGGGGGAUGAAGGCCCUCGGGUUGUAAACCCCUUUCGGCAGGGACGAAGGGAAACUGACGGUACCUGCAGAAGAAGUCCCGGCUAACUACGUGCCAGCAGCCGCGGUAACACGUAGGGGACGAGCGUUGUCCGGAUUCAUUGGGCGUAAAGCGCGCGUAGGCGGCUCGGAAAGUCGGGCGUGAAAUGCCGGGGCUCAACCCCGGGACUGCGUCCGAUACUUCCGAGCUGGAGGUAGGUAGGGGAGAUCGGAAUUCCUGGUGUAGCGGUGAAAUGCGCAGAUAUCAGGAGGAACACCGGUGGCGAAGGCGGAUCUCUGGGCCUUACCUGACGCUGAGGCGCGAAAGCUAGGGGAGCGAACAGGAUUAGAUACCCCAGUAGUCC